UGACACAGGAAGACUUGCGAAGCAAUCUACACACGUGGAGGUGAGCUGGAAGCUGAGCUGGAGCUGCAGGACGUGCUGGACACUUCAAGAGACGAGAAGCUGACGUGGAUAGGAAGCUUGGAGUAUCUUGGAGGAUCUUUGAAGAAAAUAUCAAGUUUCCUCUAUCUUAGGAGAAGAUAAGGAAGGUGAAGAUUCUCAUGAAGAUUUGGAGAAAUCA
Molecule: long non-coding RNA, 217 nt
Filed under: Eutrema salsugineum
Lineage: Eukaryota; Viridiplantae; Streptophyta; Magnoliopsida; Brassicales; Brassicaceae
Description: long non-coding RNA (ESAL_LNC001461)
Source: RNAcentral